AUUAACCUAUUUAACCUUUUUAACCCUUGAUUGAAGAUCUUAUAAAUGAUCCAUAUUUAUAAUUUAAAAAUCUUUUAUCUUUCAGCUUCCUCAGAAAAUAGGAGGAGUGACAUCAUUAUAGAGGAGAAUAAAAUUUGCUGUGAAGCAGAGAUAAACCUCUCAGUGCCCAACUCCCCUUUGAAGUGCUACACUAGAAUGUCAGAUGAAAAAUCAACAACUGACAUCACUGGUAAUGCUCAAUUUUCAAUCAGUAAAGAGAGCAGAGCCGGCAUCAUCGUCUUGGUACUGUUUCUUGGGGUUUGUGCAGCAGUAGCAGCAUAUCAUGUUCGACAGAUGAGAAAUCAUUGAGAUGCUCUACAUUGUAUGAGCCUUGCAAGCAGCACUGCUAUUAGAGAAAACAAAUGAGCUUCUGACAUGUAAAAACUUGCAUCUGUUUGAAGAACAUCUACAUAUGAGAAAACCAGGCCUGUGCCAGCAGCGUACUCCUCGGUAAUGACAUAGAGUAUUCAGCUGAGGAAACAGAGCUCAUUUUAUACGAGACCUCAUGGUAGUUUUCACAAAUGUACCUUCACCAAAUCUGUGCGUUCACUAAGGACUGUGAUUGCCACAGUUGUCCAGCUCCAGGCCUUGUGAGCAACACGAGAAGCUCCCUGGAUCUCCCAUCCGCUCCUGGUGCUUCACUGAGGACAGCAGCCAUCGCAAGAUGUGUGUCUCACUCAGCAGCACAGCUUUACAUCAGCUGAAUUCUCUCAACGGUUUUCAUGAUUGAAACUAUCAGUUCAUCUGAAAUUCUUCAGAGAGCUGUGUUCUUGCUCAGGAAAGAUGUGCCAAAUCCUGACAUCUUCCAUUUCAUAAUGCGAUAGCAUGCCCAUAGGUCUUUAUUUUUUUAAUUCCCAGGUGGACUCUAGACCUAAAAAAAAAAAAAGCAUUUUGUACCAAUGACUGAUUAGUUGAAUUAGGGGGUUUGGCCUUUUGAACAAAUAUUUGAUUGUGCAACCGCCUGCGUGUUGAGGACAUCUCCUCUGUGCGCUUCUGUGGAAUGGCUGGAAAACAGCAGACAUAUUAUGAGCGAUCCAGACUGAGUUGGCCUCACUAUAACAACAGUCUGUGGCUGUUGUAAAGAACACCUGCAAGGCCAAGGGGCUGAGAAACUGUGUGCGUAGCAAAAAUAUAAGGAAGCUGGACUGUGGAAAACAAGAUAUUUUCCUAGUAGGAAAGCGGCAUGUGGACACCGCACAAGGACCCAUCAUAGAGGGCAAAAGGGCGUGUGGACAAGUAGCUUCAGCCUAUUAGCAAUCAAGUACCUGCGUGUGUGCUUUAUGGUGGUCUAUAAAUUGCUGUGUAUACUUUAAUAAAGUGGCAUUAACUUGAUCA
RNAcentral lists this long non-coding RNA (1374 nucleotides) under Athene cunicularia (burrowing owl). RNAcentral's name for it is "lncRNA (ENSACUG00000000153.1)". The record is from RNAcentral. Lineage: Eukaryota; Metazoa; Chordata; Aves; Strigiformes; Strigidae.